This 500-nucleotide ribosomal RNA is filed under the name uncultured bacterium. Its description in RNAcentral is "partial 16S ribosomal RNA". It matches the Rfam family "Bacterial small subunit ribosomal RNA", at positions 30 to 523 of the family's 1533-position model. The record is from RNAcentral.
AUUGAACGCUGGCGGAAUGCUUUACACAUGCAAGUCGAACGGCAGCACGGACUUCGGUCUGGUGGCGAGUGGCGAACGGGUGAGUAAUAUAUCGGAACGUAUCCAAUAAUGGGGGAUAACUAAUCGAAAGGUUGGCUAAUACCGCAUACGUCCUACGGGAGAAAGCUAGGGACCUUCGGGCCUGGCGUUAAUGGAGCGGCCGAUAUCGGAUUAGCUAGUUGGUGAGGUAAAGGCUCACCAAGGCGACGAUCCGUAGCUGGUCUGAGAGGACGACCAGCCACACCGGAACUGGGACACGGUCCAGACUCCUACGGGAGGCAGCAGUGGGGAAUUUUGGGCAAUGGGCGAAAGCCUGAUCCAGCCAUUCCGCGUGAGUGAAGAAGGCCUUCGGGUUGUAAAGCUCUUUCGCAAGAGAAGAAAACUUACCCUCUAACAUAGGGUGAGGUUGACGGUAUCUUGAUAAGAAGCACCGGCUAACUACGUGCCAGCCGCCGCCGUAA